AGAGUUUGAUCAUGGCCCAGGACGAACGCUGGCGGCGUGCCUAAUACAUGCAAGUCGAGCGAGCGGAACUAACAGAUUUACUUCGGUAAUGACGUUAGGAAAGCGAGCGGCGGAUGGGUGAGUAACACGUGAGGAACCUGCCCCAUAGUCUGGGAUACCACUUGGAAACAGGUGCUAAUACCGGAUAAGAAAGCAGAUCGCAUGAUCAGCUUUUAAAAGGCGGCGUAAGCUGUCGCUAUGGGAUGGCCCCGCGGUGCAUUAGCUAGUUGGUAAGGUAAAGGCUUACCAAGGCGAUGAUGCAUAGCCGAGUUGAGAGACUGAUCGGCCACAUUGGGACUGAGACACGGCCCAAACUCCUACGGGAGGCAGCAGUAGGGAAUCUUCCACAAUGGACGCAAGUCUGAUGGAGCAACGCCGCGUGAGUGAAGAAGGUUUUCGGAUCGUAAAGCUCUGUUGUUGGUGAAGAAGGAUAGAGGUAGUAACUGGCCUUUAUUUGACGGUAAUCAACCAGAAAGUCACGGCUAACUACGUGCCAGCAGCCGCGGUAAUACGUAGGUGGCAAGCGUUGUCCGG
RNAcentral lists this ribosomal RNA (573 nucleotides) under uncultured bacterium. Its description in RNAcentral is "bacterial SSU rRNA". It matches the Rfam family "Bacterial small subunit ribosomal RNA", at positions 8 to 548 of the family's 1533-position model. The record is from RNAcentral.